GCGCGGAUGGUUUAGAGGUUAGAAUUCUUGCUUCCCAUCUUCUCCUGAGAUAGCAAGGGACCCGGGUUCGAAUCCCGGUUCGCGCA
This 86-nucleotide transfer RNA is filed under the name Echria macrotheca. RNAcentral's name for it is "tRNA-Gly". It matches the Rfam family "tRNA". From Rfam's summary of the family: Transfer RNA (tRNA) molecules are approximately 80 nucleotides in length. Their secondary structure includes four short double-helical elements and three loops (D, anti-codon, and T loops). Lineage: Eukaryota; Fungi; Ascomycota; Sordariomycetes; Sordariales; Schizotheciaceae. The record is from RNAcentral.